RNAcentral lists this transfer RNA (71 nucleotides) under Loxodonta africana (African savanna elephant). It matches the Rfam family "tRNA". From Rfam's summary of the family: Transfer RNA (tRNA) molecules are approximately 80 nucleotides in length. Their secondary structure includes four short double-helical elements and three loops (D, anti-codon, and T loops). The record is from Rfam by way of RNAcentral. Lineage: Eukaryota; Metazoa; Chordata; Mammalia; Proboscidea; Elephantidae.
ACAGUGGUGGUCCAGUGGUAGGAUUCUCGUCUCCCAUGCGGGAGACCCAGGUUUGAUUCCUGACCAAUGCA